UGGGGAAUAUUGCACAAUGGACGGAAGUCUGCUGCAGCAACGCCGCGUGCGGGAUGACGGCCUUCGGGUUGUAAACCGCUUUUUCUCAUGACGAAGUUUUUUGACGGUAGUGGGGGAAGAAGCACCGGCUAACUACGUGCCAGCAGCCGCGGUGAUACGCAGGGUGCGAGCGUUGUCCGUAAUUAUUGGGCGUAAAGAGCUUGUAGGCGGUUUGUCGCGUCGAUAGUGCAAACUCAGUGCUUAACGCUGAGCCUGCUGUUGAUACGGGCAGACUAGAGGAAGGUAGGGGAGAAUGGAAUUCCCGGUGGAGCGGUGGAAUUCGCGGAUAUCGGGAGGAACACCGGUGGCGAAGGCGGUUCUCUGGGCCUUUCCUGACGCUGAGAAGCGAAAGCGUGGGGAGCGAGCAGG
RNAcentral lists this ribosomal RNA (408 nucleotides) under Fusobacteriota bacterium. RNAcentral's name for it is "Fusobacteria bacterium partial 16S ribosomal RNA". It matches the Rfam family "Bacterial small subunit ribosomal RNA", at positions 355 to 776 of the family's 1533-position model. The record is from RNAcentral. Lineage: Bacteria; Fusobacteriati; Fusobacteriota.